RNAcentral lists this ribosomal RNA (507 nucleotides) under uncultured bacterium. RNAcentral's name for it is "partial 16S ribosomal RNA". It matches the Rfam family "Bacterial small subunit ribosomal RNA", at positions 29 to 523 of the family's 1533-position model. The record is from RNAcentral.
AGUGAACGCUGGCGGUAGGCCUAACACAUGCAAGUCGAACGGCAGCACAGGAGAGCUUGCUCUCUGGGUGGCGAGUGGCGGACGGGUGAGGAAUACAUCGGAAUCUACUCUGUCGUGGGGGAUAACGUAGGGAAACUUACGCUAAUACCGCAUACGAUCUACGGGUGAAAGCAGGGGACCUUCGGGCCUUGCGCGAUUGAAUGAGCCGAUGUCGGAUUAGCUAGUUGGCGGGGGUAAAGGCCCACCAAGGCGACGAUCCGUAGCUGGUCUGGGAGGAGGAUCAGCCACACUGGAACUGAGACACGGUCCAGACUCCUACGGGAGGCAGCAGUGGGGAAUAUUGGACAAUGGGCGCAAGCCUGAUCCAGCCAUACCGCGUGGGUGAAGAAGGCCUUCGGGUUGUAAAGCCCUUUUGUUGGGAAAGAAAUCCAGCUGGCUAAUACCCGGUUGGGAUGACGGUACCCAAAGAAUAAGCACCGGCUAACUUCGUGCCAGCAGCCGCAGUAA